This 1304-nucleotide long non-coding RNA is filed under the name Mytilus galloprovincialis (Mediterranean mussel). Lineage: Eukaryota; Metazoa; Mollusca; Bivalvia; Mytilida; Mytilidae. The record is from RNAcentral.
AAUAAAUGUGUAGGACUCGGAACCGUGAUGGUACUCCGAACCGCGAUGGUCACGCUGAAGUGCGAUGGUCCACGCUGAAGUACGUUGGUUAAUACGCUGAAGUGAGAUGGUGACAUUGUGACGUUAACUUGUUGAGUAUACGCCGAAGUGCGAUGAUGGUUACGCUGAAGUACGAUGGUCUUCCUGUGACAUUGGAAAAAAAGCAAAAUGUAUAUACAAGCUGGUUAAAAGAAAUAAUAUCAUAACGAUUUGAGAAAAUGUAUAGCCCUUAGCCUCGAAUUAUGAAGAUUUUAAUUUUCUGUUUAUGUCAAACAAAACUUAAGGCUUUAAAUUUUGAUUUUUUUAAUCUAAUUUUAAAAUAUGCUAAUUCUCCGAUUAGCACGCAGUAGUUGAGAGUAAAAUAGUAUGCCGUUCAAGACGAAAAAAAAAGAUACAGCGUGUAGGUCUAUAUAAUAGUACCUAGAAGGGUCCAUCUCAUUUUAUUAUAUAUUACGACAAAACUUAGAAAUUGCUCACAAAAAUUAUUCAUCCAUUUAUAUAUACCCGAUUGCUCACGGAGUAAAAAAACACUUUGUGCGUUUAUGUAUGACAAAUAGCGAUCCUUGUCGAUUAUUUCACGAAAAAAAUAGGUGAUGACAAAUUGGGAAGUACAUGUAGGGAUCAGUUACAUUGUAGGUCAAUUUUGGCCUAACAUGUUGUAAAACAUCAACACUGCAACCACUAUAAAAAAAAAAGACUAGAAUGACAGUGUUCUUACAAAUCAGGAUUCAUCAUUAUAGCAACUUGAUAUAGCAAAAACAUUACUAGUACAAUAGUACAUUUUUUUUCUAUUAAAUUGUCGACAUAGAAUCACGAGAAUUUUACUUAAAGGUAAAUCCAAAUUAAUAUUUAGAUCAAUAUGCUUUAUUUAUUUGUUUUUGGUUUGUGGCAUAAUUCCUAACACUGGUUUUCCGAUAUGCAGACCAAGUUCAUCCAUCAGCUGCUUUGCUCUCAAUGAUUUGUUGCACGACUAGUUUGUAACCUCAACUUAUAAUGCUCAAAACUCUUCGGAACUUGAAUAGUUCGGUACUUUCUUUUCCCCUUCGUUUCCUUUGUUAACAUGAAACCUUCAUCUACACAACCCUAUCGUCCUUCCUGCGAAUCUAUGUUGUAUUUUACUAAGGCUAAACGUCACAAUAUGCUAACGUCAGACCAAACCAUCGCACCUCAGCGAAAGGACCAUCGUACUUCGGCGUGGACCAUCGCACUUCAGCGUGACCACUGCACUUCAGCGUCCCCAUCGCACCUCCGAGUCCUACAAAUGA